UGUCCCAUGGCUGAGUUGGUUACAGUGUCCGACUGUUAUAGUCUUCUUGCUUUAUUAAUAAUCAAUUGGAAGGUCGAGAGUUCGACCCUCUCUGGGGUAG
Guyanagaster necrorhizus is the source of this 100-nucleotide non-coding RNA. Lineage: Eukaryota; Fungi; Basidiomycota; Agaricomycetes; Agaricales; Physalacriaceae. The record is from the annotation of a RefSeq genome assembly.